GGCUCAGUGGUCUAGUCGUAUGAUUGCUGCUUCGGGAGAUCAAACAAAUCCCGCUCUGGAACAUCAAAUCCAGAGUUGCCACUCAGUGUGCUAAAUGUAGCAGGUCCCGGGUUCAAAUCCCGGCUGAGCCC
Molecule: non-coding RNA, 131 nt
Organism: Microdochium trichocladiopsis
Lineage: Eukaryota; Fungi; Ascomycota; Sordariomycetes; Xylariales; Microdochiaceae
Source: the annotation of a RefSeq genome assembly